GAUGAACGCUGGCGGCGUGCCUAAUACAUGCAAGUCGAGCGAACAGACGAGGAGCUUGCUCCUCUGACGUUAGCGGCGGACGGGUGAGUAACACGUGGAUAACCUACCUAUAAGACUGGGAUAACUUCGGGAAACCGGAGCUAAUACCGGAUAAUAUAUUGAACCGCAUGGUUCAAUAGUGAAAGACGGUUUUGCUGUCACUUAUAGAUGGAUCCGCGCCGCAUUAGCUAGUUGGUAAGGUAACGGCUUACCAAGGCAACGAUGCGUAGCCGACCUGAGAGGGUGAUCGGCCACACUGGAACUGAGAUACGGUCCAGACUCCUGCGGGAGGCAGCAGUAGGGAAUCUUCCGCAAUGGGCGAAAGCCUGACGGAGCAACGCCGCGUGAGUGAUGAAGGUCUUCGGAUCGUAAAACACUGUUAUUAGGGAAGAACAAAUGUGUAAGUAACUAUGCACGUCUUGACGGUACCUAAUCAGAAAGCCACGGCUAACUACGUG
This 497-nucleotide ribosomal RNA is filed under the name uncultured bacterium. RNAcentral's name for it is "partial 16S ribosomal RNA". It matches the Rfam family "Bacterial small subunit ribosomal RNA", at positions 28 to 507 of the family's 1533-position model. The record is from RNAcentral.